This 253-nucleotide ribosomal RNA is filed under the name uncultured bacterium. Its description in RNAcentral is "partial 16S ribosomal RNA". It matches the Rfam family "Bacterial small subunit ribosomal RNA", at positions 524 to 776 of the family's 1533-position model. The record is from RNAcentral.
UACGUAGGGGGCAAGCGUUGUCCGGAAUCAUUGGGCGUAAAGCGCGUGUAGGCGGCUUCGUAAGUCCGUUGUGAAAGUCCAGGGCUCAACCCUGGAAUGCCGAUGGAUACUGCGGAGCUAGAGUCCGGAAGAGGCGAGUGGAAUUCCUGGUGUAGCGGUGAAAUGCGCAGAUAUCAGGAGGAACACCGGUGGCGAAGGCGGAUCUCUGGGCCAUUACUGACGCUGAGGAGCGAAAGCGUGGGGAGCGAACAGG